GCCGAAGUGGCGAAAUUGGUAGACGCACUGGACUCAAAAUCCAGCGGUGGCAACACCGUUCCGGUUCGACUCCGGACUUCGGCA
RNAcentral lists this transfer RNA (84 nucleotides) under Chitinispirillum alkaliphilum. RNAcentral describes it as "tRNA-Leu". It matches the Rfam family "tRNA". From Rfam's summary of the family: Transfer RNA (tRNA) molecules are approximately 80 nucleotides in length. Their secondary structure includes four short double-helical elements and three loops (D, anti-codon, and T loops). Lineage: Bacteria; Pseudomonadati; Fibrobacterota; Chitinispirillia; Chitinispirillales; Chitinispirillaceae. The record is from RNAcentral.